Molecule: ribosomal RNA, 301 nt
Filed under: uncultured bacterium
Lineage: Bacteria
Description: partial 16S ribosomal RNA
Rfam family: Bacterial small subunit ribosomal RNA
Source: RNAcentral
CAGUAGCCGCGGUAAUACGGAGGGUGCGAGCGUUAAUCGGAUUUACUGGGCGUAAAGCGUGCGUAGGCGGCUUCUUAAGUCGGAUGUGAAAUCCCUGAGCUUAACUUAGGAAUUGCAUUCGAUACUGGGAAGCUAGAGUAUGGGAGAGGAUGGUAGAAUUCCAGGUGUAGCGGUGAAAUGCGUAGAGAUCUGGAGGAAUACCGAUGGCGAAGGCAGCCAUCUGGCCUAAUACUGACGCUGAGGUACGAAAGCAUGGGGAGCAAACAGGAUUAGAUACCCCGGUAGUCCCUGUCUCUUAUAC